GAUGAACGCUGGCGGCGUGCCUAAUACAUGCAAGUCGAGCGAACAGAUGAGGAGCUUGCUCCUCUGACGUUAGCGGCGGACGGGUGAGUAACACGUGGAUAACCUACCUAUAAGACUGGGAUAACUUCGGGAAACCGGAGCUAAUACCGGAUAAUAUAUUGAACCGCAUGGUUCAAUAGUGAAAGACGGUUUUGCCGUCACUUAUAGAUGGAUCCGCGCCGCAUUAGCUAGUUGGUAAGGUAACGGCUUACCAAGGCGACGAUGCGUAGCCGACCUGAGAGGGUGAUCGGCCACACUGGAACUGAGACACGGUCCAGACUCCUACGGGAGGCAGCAGUAGGGAAUCUUCCGCAAUGGGCGAAAGCUUGACGGAGCAACGCCGCGUGAGUGAUGAAGGUCUUCGGAUCGUAAAACUCUGUUAUUAGGGAAGAACAAAUGUGUAAGUAACUAUGCACGUCUUGACGGUACCUAAUCAGAAAGCCACGGCUAACUACGUG
This 497-nucleotide ribosomal RNA is filed under the name uncultured bacterium. Its description in RNAcentral is "partial 16S ribosomal RNA". It matches the Rfam family "Bacterial small subunit ribosomal RNA", at positions 28 to 507 of the family's 1533-position model. The record is from RNAcentral.